CUGAGCUAUGUUUUUCAUGUAGCUAUGUUUUUCAUGAGUGUCCAAAUACCUGAUUAAGCCAAAGGAACAGCCGUAUUGCUUGUUAUCCUGGCCAUGCUAACAUUCAGCCAUCACCGGCAGGAGCAAUAUUGUUGUUGAACUGGUUUGUUUCCCAUGCUGUUUGGUUGAUUACAUCAUUACUUCAAGUCUCAUGUAAUAAGCUGUGGUACAGUUGUUAGCUGGAUCUGAUGCAACUACUUUUUUGCUCAAGGCAAUCUUCAUAGGUUUAAGGAAUCCUUUCUGGGGAGUUAAAUUACUCAGAGGGGGAUCUGUGUGAUUAUUGUUCUCUCAUUCCACUCUAUUGCUUGCCAUGCUCUGCCCGGCCAUUCUAUCCCACUUUUUUCCUGCUAUAGCAUUUCAUUCUAAAACAAAAAACAAGGGAUUGAAUGUUUGUGCCCCCCAAGAUUCAUAUGUUGAGAUCUGAACCCCCAGUGUGAUGGUAUUGGGAGGUGGGGCCCUUGGGAGUUGAUUAGGUCAUAAAGGUCAAGCCAUCACAAAUGAGAUUAAGGACUUUAUAAAAAAGACCCAGGGAGUUUCCCUGUCCCUUCAGCCCUGUGAGGACACAGUGAGAAGACUGCUGGUGGUCUAUAACCAGUACGCAGGCUCUCUCCAGACACCAGAUUGGCCAGGACCUUGAUCAUGGACCUCCCAGUCACCUCAACCAUUUAUAAGCUACCCGGUGGGUGUAUCCACGCAGUGAAAUAUCAUUGGAUCCGUUGGAUAAGGACUCUGAAGAUGGCACAGCACCGUGAAUAAACCACCAUGUGACAACACCUGUGUACUGCGAUUAUGAGACAAUAGAAUCAGAUCUGAGAACACAACGAGCUUGAAAACUUUUCAGAGCCUCUGAGACAGGACUGACUGAGAACCCUCAGUCAGGGCCCCAGCCCAGACUCACAGCAAGCUAUUCCUGGGGCACUCCAGGCUUCUCCAUGACUCAGGUGAGUCUCCUGUGCAUCAUGAGAACUAUGCUGGGGACUGGGUGACUUUCAGGGCAGACCUGGAGGUGUGGCUGUUCUAAGAACCACUAGAGCUCAGCCAUGAUGAGUCAACUUGAGACUGAAACAUUAAACAG
This 1114-nucleotide long non-coding RNA is filed under the name Mustela putorius furo (domestic ferret). RNAcentral describes it as "lncRNA (ENSMPUG00000027674.1)". The record is from RNAcentral. Lineage: Eukaryota; Metazoa; Chordata; Mammalia; Carnivora; Mustelidae.